GGGUCUGUGGUCUAGGGGUAUGACACUCCCUUAGCAUCUAUCCUUGUAAAGGAAGAGCUUCGAUAUGGGAGAGGUCCCGGGUUCAAUUCCCGGCGGAUCCA
Phyllosticta citribraziliensis is the source of this 101-nucleotide non-coding RNA. The record is from the annotation of a GenBank genome assembly. Lineage: Eukaryota; Fungi; Ascomycota; Dothideomycetes; Botryosphaeriales; Phyllostictaceae.